AUUGAACGCUGGCGGCAGGCCUAACACAUGCAAGUCGAGCGGAUGAAGGGAGCUUGCUCCUGGAUUCAGCGGCGGACGGGUGAGUAAUGCCUAGGAAUCUGCCUGGUAGUGGGGGAUAACGUCCGGAAACGGGCGCUAAUACCGCAUACGUCCUGAGGGAGAAAGUGGGGGAUCUUCGGACAUCACGCUAUCAGAUGAGCCUAGGUCGGAUUAGCUAGUUGGUGGGGUAAAGGCCUACCAAGGCGACGAUCCGUAACUGGGCUGAGAGGAUGAUCAGUCACACUGGAACUGAGACACGGUCCAGACUCCUACGGGAGGCAGCAGUGGGGAAUAUUUGGCAAUGGGCGAAAGCCUGACCCAGCCACGCCGCGUGUGUGAAGAAGGUCUUCGGAUUGUAAAGCACUUUAAGUUGGGAGGAAGGGCAGUAAGUUAAUCCCUUGCUGUUUUGACGUUACCAACAGAAUAAGCCCCGGCUAACUUCGUG
This 484-nucleotide ribosomal RNA is filed under the name uncultured bacterium. RNAcentral describes it as "partial 16S ribosomal RNA". It matches the Rfam family "Bacterial small subunit ribosomal RNA", at positions 30 to 507 of the family's 1533-position model. The record is from RNAcentral.